This 1100-nucleotide long non-coding RNA is filed under the name Astyanax mexicanus (Mexican tetra). Its description in RNAcentral is "lncRNA (ENSAMXG00005020807.1)". The record is from RNAcentral. Lineage: Eukaryota; Metazoa; Chordata; Actinopteri; Characiformes; Acestrorhamphidae.
AGAGCUAAAAUCUGCCACUGAAAGAAGAUAAGGGGUAGAGGAAGGCGUCCUUGCGGAAGACCUUGACUAUUUCAGGCCUUUCAGUGCUGGUAGCCUGCAGCACUCGCUGUUUCUUCAACAGGAUUUGGCCCAGUGCACUCAUUUGUCUAUAGAGCAAGAGAUCAAGCCUCGCAUCAAGUUCCACAGGCCGUGACUCAGACCCUGGAACGCUGGGGCUGUUUGAAAAUAAAGAAGGGACAAAAAGCAUCUGUUGGAAAUGUUCACUGUGAUGCAGAUCCAAACCCUCCUCUUCCUCCUCCUCCUCUUUUUCCUCGGCCUGAGCCACAGCGAACGCACAGUGGCAGAGGAGCUGGGGAGCCAUCAGCUGCAGCGGCUGGUGGAUCUGCUGACGGUGCACGAGUGUGAGGAGCUCUUCCUGGCCCUAACCAAUCCCGAGGAGAAGGUUUUUAAACAGCUGCAGCGCCUGUCUGCAGAGAAGAACCCGCUGAGACCACACCCCCGCACACCACGAGACAUAGAGGUGGGUAAGAAUCUUAACCAGGACAAGACGCUGGGGCUGCAGCGCUAUGUGGAGGAAUACCAUGAGCAGGUCAAUAAAAUGACAUCACAGUUCAUCCUGCCCCAAUCAGAGGAGGACCAUCAUGAAGAAACACCAGAUGUUUCUGCAAGACAAGUGAGGAGCUUGUCUUGGAAAGAUUUGGACUUGGUUGUGGAGAGGCAGCUGGUGCCACCCUAUCAGCGUCAGUUUCUGGACGGGGCGUGGCCUCUUCUCUACGGCCUUAUCUUUGGAUUCGUUGCAGCUUUAGGGGUUGGUUUGCCUGUAAUGCUCUUUACCAUGCGGAUAUGCCUUGGGUCCCAAACCAAAACCCAGCAUUAGGGACACCAUACACACCAUCACUCCUUUGAGAUUUUGAUGACUUGUUAGACUUGUUUGUUUUAAGCUAAACAACUGUGAUUUUUCAGACUAGGUUUAAUAUUAAACAAUGAUCUGCCUUAAUUGAUGUCUUUUAUUUAAUUUUAUUUUUUUUCUUACCUGUAUAUACUAUUCUAGAGUUUUAGUCACAUGAUUUUUUGGGUACCACUUUAAAAGUGUCUUUUCU